Non-coding RNA from Lupinus angustifolius (narrow-leaved blue lupine), 110 nucleotides. Lineage: Eukaryota; Viridiplantae; Streptophyta; Magnoliopsida; Fabales; Fabaceae. The record is from Rfam.
GAGAGCAUAGUACGAUGAAAGUUGUAAGUUGUGUUCGGGGGGAGUUAUUCUCUAUCAUUGGUCUCUAUAGUAGAAUCAGUCGGGGCCUGAGAGGCGGUGGUUUACCCUGU